This 546-nucleotide ribosomal RNA is filed under the name Saccharomyces cerevisiae (brewer's yeast). RNAcentral describes it as "partial large subunit ribosomal RNA". It matches the Rfam family "Eukaryotic large subunit ribosomal RNA", at positions 73 to 637 of the family's 3401-position model. Lineage: Eukaryota; Fungi; Ascomycota; Saccharomycetes; Saccharomycetales; Saccharomycetaceae. The record is from RNAcentral.
GGCCUUAGUACGGCGAGUGAAGCGGCAAAAGCUCAAAUUUGAAAUCUGGUACCUUCGGUGCCCGAGUUGUAAUUUGGAGAGGGCAACUUUGGGGCCGUUCCUUGUCUAUGUUCCUUGGAACAGGACGUCAUAGAGGGUGAGAAUCACGUGUGGCGAGGAGUGCGGUUCUUUGUAAAGUGCCUUCGAAGAGUCGAGUUGUUUGGGAAUGCAGCUCUAAGUGGGUGGUAAAUUCCAUCUAAAGCUAAAUAUUGGCGAGAGACCGAUAGCGGACAAGUACAGUGAUGGAGAGAUGAAAAGAACUUUGAAAAGAGAGUGAAAAAGUACGUGAAAUUGUUGAAAGGGAAGGGCAUUUGAUCAGACAUGGUGUUUUGUGCCCUCUGCUCCUUGUGGGUAGGGGAAUCUCGCAUUUCACUGGGCCAGCAUCAGUUUUGGUGGCAGGAUAAAUCCAUAGGAAUGUAGCUUGCCUCGGUAAGUAUUAUAGCCUGUGGGAAUACUGCCAGCUGGGACUGAGGACUGCGACGUAAGUCAAGGAUGCAGGCAUAAUAG